CCUCGUUCUUAGUUGCCAUCAUUCAGUUGGGCACUCUAGGGAGACUGCCGGUGAUAAACCGGAGGAAGGUGGGGAUGACGUCAAGUCAUCAUGCCCCUUACGUCCUGGGCUACACACGUACUACAAUGGGUGGGACAAAGGGCAGCGAACUCGCAAGAGCCAGCUAAUCCCAUAAACCCUGCCUCAGUUCAGAUUGCUCUCUGCAACUCGAGAGCAUGAAGGAGGAAUCGCUAGUAAUCGCAGGUCAGCAUACUGCGGUGAAUACGUUCCCGGGCCUUGUC
RNAcentral lists this ribosomal RNA (281 nucleotides) under uncultured cyanobacterium. RNAcentral describes it as "partial 16S ribosomal RNA". It matches the Rfam family "Bacterial small subunit ribosomal RNA", at positions 1103 to 1384 of the family's 1533-position model. The record is from RNAcentral. Lineage: Bacteria; Bacillati; Cyanobacteriota.